GGGGAAUAUUGGACAAUGGGCGCAAGCCUGAUCCAGCAAUGCCGCGUGUGUGAAGAAGGCCUGCGGGUUGUAAAGCACUUUAAGCGGGAAAGAAGGCUCCAAGGCUAAUAUCCUUGGAGAUUGACGUUACCCGCAGAAUAAGCACCGGCUAACUCCGUGCCAGCAGCCGCGGUAAUACGGAGGGUGCGAGCGUUAAUCGGAAUUACUGGGCGUAAAGCGCGCGUAGGCGGUUCGUUAAGUCAGCCGUGAAAGCCCCGGGCUUAACCUGGGAACUGCGGAUGAUACUGGCGGACUAGAGUGUGGCAGAGGGUGGCGGAAUUUCCGGUGUAGCAGUGAAAUGCGUAGAGAUCGGAAGGAACACCAGUGGCGAAGGCGGCCAUCUGGGCCAACACUGACGCUGAGGUGCGAAAGCGUGGGGAGCAAAC
Molecule: ribosomal RNA, 425 nt
Filed under: uncultured bacterium
Lineage: Bacteria
Description: bacterial SSU rRNA
Rfam family: Bacterial small subunit ribosomal RNA
Source: RNAcentral